RNAcentral lists this ribosomal RNA (373 nucleotides) under uncultured organism. RNAcentral describes it as "partial 16S ribosomal RNA". It matches the Rfam family "Bacterial small subunit ribosomal RNA", at positions 527 to 896 of the family's 1533-position model. The record is from RNAcentral.
GUAGGUGGCAAGCGUUGUCCGGAAUUAUUGGGCGUAAAGCGCGCGCAGGCGGUUCUUUAAGUCUGAUGUGAAAGCCCACGGCUCAACCGUGGAGGGUCAUCGGAAACUGGAGAACUUGAGUACAGAAGAGGAAAGCGGAAUUCCACGUGUAGCGGUGAAAUGCGUAGAGAUGUGGAGGAACACCAGUGGCGAAGGCGGCUUUCUGGUCUGUAACUGACGCUGAGGCGCGAAAGCGUGGGGAGCAAACAGGGAUUAGAUACCCUGGUAGUCCACGCCGUAAACGAUGAGUGCUAAGUGUUAGGGGGUUUCCGCCCCCUUAGUGCUGCAGCUAACGCAUUAAGCACUCCGCCUGGGGAGUACGGCCGCAAGGCUG